GACGAACGCUGGCGGCGUGCUUAACACAUGCAAGUCGAACGGUGAAGGGGCCUGCUUUUGUGGGCCCUGGAUGAGUGGCGAACGGGUGAGUAACACGUGAGUAACCUGCCCCCUUCUUCUGGAUAACCGCAUGAAAGUGUGGCUAAUACGGGAUAUUCUGGGUCUGUCGCAUGAUGGGUCUGGGAAAGAUUGCGCCUUUGGGUGUUUUUGGUGGGGGAUGGGCUCGCGGCCUAUCAGCUUGUUGGUGGGGUGAUGGCCUACCAAGGCGGGGACGGGUAGCCGGCCUGAGAGGGUGGACGGUCACACUGGGACUGAGACACGGCCCAGACUCCUACGGGAGGCAGCAGUGGGGAAUAUUGCACAAUGGGCGCAAGCCUGAUGCAGCGACGCCGCGUGAGGGAUGGAGGCCUUCGGGUUGUAAACCUCUUUCGCCAGUGAAGCAGGCCUGCUCCGUGUGGGUGGGUUGACGGUAGCUGGAUAAGAAGCGCCGGCUAACUACGUG
Molecule: ribosomal RNA, 502 nt
Filed under: uncultured bacterium
Lineage: Bacteria
Description: partial 16S ribosomal RNA
Rfam family: Bacterial small subunit ribosomal RNA
Source: RNAcentral